RNAcentral lists this ribosomal RNA (806 nucleotides) under Pseudocercospora thelypteridis. RNAcentral's name for it is "eukaryotic LSU rRNA". It matches the Rfam family "Eukaryotic large subunit ribosomal RNA", at positions 81 to 919 of the family's 3401-position model. Lineage: Eukaryota; Fungi; Ascomycota; Dothideomycetes; Mycosphaerellales; Mycosphaerellaceae. The record is from RNAcentral.
UAGUAACGGCGAGUGAAGCGGCAACAGCUCAAAUUUGAAAUCUGGCGCAAGCCCGAGUUGUAAUUUGUAGAGGAUGCUUCUGGGUAGCGGCCGGUCUAAGUUCCUUGGAACAGGACGUCAUAGAGGGUGAGAAUCCCGUAUGUGACUGGCUUGCACCCUCCACGUAGCUCCUUCGACGAGUCGAGUUGUUUGGGAAUGCAGCUCUAAAUGGGAGGUAAAUUUCUUCUAAAGCUAAAUACCGGCCAGAGACCGAUAGCGCACAAGUAGAGUGAUCGAAAGAUGAAAAGCACUUUGGAAAGAGAGUUAAAAAGCACGUGAAAUUGUUGAAAGGGAAGCGCCCGCAACCAGACUUUGCGGCAGUGUUCGGCCGGUCUUCUGACCGGUUUACUCGCUGUCGUGAGGCCAUCAUCGUCUGGGACCGCUGGAUAAGACCUUAGGAAUGUGGCUCCCCUCGGGGAGUGUUAUAGCCUCUGGUGAUGCAGCGCGUCUCGGGCGAGGUCCGCGCUUCGGCAAGGAUGAUGGCGUAAUGGUUGUCGGCGGCCCGUCUUGAAACACGGACCAAGGAGUCUAACAUCUAUGCGAGUGUUCGGGUGUCAAACCCCUACGCGUAAUGAAAGUGAACGGAGGUGGGAACUUUUUGUGCACCAUCGACCGAUCCUGAUGUCCUCGGAUGGAUUUGAGUAAGAGCAUAGCUGUUGGGACCCGAAAGAUGGUGAACUAUGCCUGAAUAGGGUGAAGCCAGAGGAAACUCUGGUGGAGGCUCGCAGCGGUUCUGACGUGCAAAUCGAUCGUCAAAUUUGGGUAUA